UACGUAGGGUCCGAGCGUUGUCCGGAAUUAUUGGGCGUAAAGAGCUCGUAGGCGGUCUGUUGCGUCGGCUGUGAAAACCCGGGGCUCAACUCCGGGCCUGCAGUCGAUACGGGCAGACUAGAGUUCGGUAGGGGAGACUGGAAUUCCUGGCGUAGCGGUGAAAUGCGCAGAUAUCAGGAGGAACACCGGUGGCGAAGGCGGGUCUCUGGGCCGAAACUGACGCUGAGGAGCGAAAGCGUGGGGAGCGAACAGG
Molecule: ribosomal RNA, 253 nt
Filed under: uncultured bacterium
Lineage: Bacteria
Description: partial 16S ribosomal RNA
Rfam family: Bacterial small subunit ribosomal RNA
Source: RNAcentral